CAGCUGCUCCAGCAGCUCAGCCCUGGCCGCGUUCUUCUUGUGCUUCUUGCCGUCGUAGUGCUGCUGGGCCAUGACGGGGUUGUUGAACCACGCGGCACACAGCUGGCAGUAGCGGUCUGAAUCCCUGCGUGGCUGCGGUGGGGACGCUGCUGGGGGCCGAUCCGCGCGGGGCUGCUUCAAGGAGCCCAGGGUCUCUGUGGCCUUCAGUGCCGGCGGCUCACCUAGCAACAGCUUUAACCUUUUGGCAUGGAUUUUCCCUUGGUAAUGCGAUUCAGCCACCACUGCUGAGGUAAAGGACAUGUUACAUAGCGUGCAGCAUUUGUUCUUAUCCACCGAGUCACCAUCGCUGCCAUUUUCUGAGCGGAGCUUUUUGGCUGGACAGCCUCCAUCGAUGGGGUGAAG
Molecule: long non-coding RNA, 402 nt
Filed under: Gallus gallus (chicken)
Lineage: Eukaryota; Metazoa; Chordata; Aves; Galliformes; Phasianidae
Source: RNAcentral